This 465-nucleotide ribosomal RNA is filed under the name Vreelandella stevensii. RNAcentral's name for it is "partial 16S ribosomal RNA". It matches the Rfam family "Bacterial small subunit ribosomal RNA", at positions 338 to 795 of the family's 1533-position model. Lineage: Bacteria; Pseudomonadati; Pseudomonadota; Gammaproteobacteria; Oceanospirillales; Halomonadaceae. The record is from RNAcentral.
CCUACGGGAGGCUGCAGUGGGGAAUAUUGGACAAUGGGCGAAAGCCUGAUCCAGCCAUGCCGCGUGUGUGAAGAAGGCCUUCGGGUUGUAAAGCACUUUCAGUUGGGAAGAAAGCCUUGGGGCUAAUACCCUCGAGGAAGGACAUCACCCACAGAAGAAGCACCGGCUAACUCCGUGCCAGCAGCCGCGGUAAUACGGAGGGUGCGAGCGUUAAUCGGAAUUACUGGGCGUAAAGCGCGCGUAGGCGGUCUGAUAAGCCGGUUGUGAAAGCCCCGGGCUCAACCUGGGAACGGCAUUCGGAACUGCCAGGCUAGAGUGCAGGAGAGGAAGGUAGAAUUCCCGGUGUAGCGGUGAAAUGCGUAGAGAUCGGGAGGAAUACCAGUGGCGAAGGCGGCCUUCUGGACUGACACUGACGCUGAGGUGCGAAAGCGUGGGUAGCAAACAGGAUUAGAUACCCGUGUAGUC